Molecule: long non-coding RNA, 781 nt
Filed under: Amborella trichopoda
Lineage: Eukaryota; Viridiplantae; Streptophyta; Magnoliopsida; Amborellales; Amborellaceae
Description: long non-coding RNA (ATRI_LNC001170)
Source: RNAcentral
UAUGUACGAAAUAUUAUUGUCAAAAAAGGUGUUUUGCAAUAACAAAUAACAACGAAUAUGACUACAUGAACUACCGCAACAUAUUAUCACUACAUAUUGUGAUUAUUUUUCUUUUUGAACUGUCAGGUUAAUUUAAACUUUUUACAUCUUAAAACAGUUGAAUCAUGUCAAGAUUUACAGAAGACACUACAUGGCAACAACGUCGUCUAUCAUUUUAUUUUUAGAUCGUAUGUUAUUAAUUUUAUGCUUUAUUGUAGUCCAUGUAUGUUGAUAUACUUAUUCCAUGAUAAUUCUAUGUUUAUCCUUUUGUGUGAUGUAAAUUAAAUGUUGAAUGACGGUUCAUGCAGGGAAAGAACAUAUCAAUAUUCGCAUAUUCAUCCAAAAACAUGAAAAUUCUUAAUGGAGUACCUCAUUUUUUAUUGAAUUCCUAAAAAACAAUAUUUAUAAUGAAUUUUAAUAAUUUUUUCGGAUUUUUUUGAAGCUUUAUUCUGACCGAUUCACCCGAUUCCGAUCCGGACCGCCGAUUCGCCGAUCCGGAUCGCCGAUUCGCCGAUCCGAAUCGGUUUUUGAAAAGCCCGAUCCGGGUCACCGAUCCGGUUUUUAAACCAUUGCUCAAAAUAUAUAGAAAUAAGGGCCAGCAUCCAUUAAGGAUCAAAAGAACAAUAACAUGAAAAGACAAAUAACAAGAAAAGCACGAAAAAAGGACAUGGGGUUGGGUCCCGAUUAAAUGGGGUUUUUUUUUUUUUUUAUAAUGGUUUUUGGAUAUAAGUGGUAUUAGUAU